UAAGUUCGAUGUCGUUGCCCU
This 21-nucleotide non-coding RNA is filed under the name Arabidopsis thaliana (thale cress). Lineage: Eukaryota; Viridiplantae; Streptophyta; Magnoliopsida; Brassicales; Brassicaceae. The record is from RNAcentral.